UGUGCGGUAAAGCGAAUGAUUAGCGUAUUUGGGGGCGAUUAGCCUUCGGACGAUUCUCAAACUUUCAAUGCGCAAGGGUGUUGCUGCUUAAUUGAGCUUCACCGGUAAAAACGUCGGCCCUGUGGGCCACUUUUGGUAAGCAGAACUGGCGAUACGGGAUGAACCGUAAGCAUGGUUAAGGUGCCAAACUAUUCGCUUAUAGAUCCCACAAAAGGUGUUGAUUCAUCGAGACAGCAGGACGGUGGCCAUGGAAGUCGGAAUCCGCCAAGGAGUGUGUAACAACUCACCUGCCGAAUGAAUUAGCCCUGAAAAUGGAUGGCGCUUAAGCGGAUGACCGACACCAUGCCGUCUGAAUGAUAUAUUUUCAGAUGAGUAGGAGGACGUGGUGAUUGUAACGAAGUAUGUGUGCGAACACGUAUAGAACGAUCACUAGUGCAGAUCUUGGUGGUAGUAGCAAAUAUUCAAGCGAGAUCCUUGAAGGGCGAAGCGGGGAAGGGUUCCACGCUAACAUUGAUUGGGCGUGGGUGAGUCGUUCCUAAGCCGAGUGGCAAUUGCUAAGUAACGGCGAAAGGGAAGCAGGUUUACAUUCCUGCACACGGAUGUGGAGGUGGUGACACUUUAUUGAGGCGAACACAUUGGCGAUGGCGCUAGGCAGAGUUGUCUUUUCUGUUUAACCGUUUGUAUAUAUUGUGUGGAGUCCGAUUAUCGGGAGAAACACAUAUAUACGGGCAGAGCGCCGGGGCUUAUCCGGCGUCUAGCUCGCCAUCGACGAUCCUUGAAACUUUGCCUGCUGAAUUUUUAAUAUCCACGCCGUGGCGUACCGAUCACCGCAUCAGGUCCCCGAGGUGAACAGCCUCUGCUCAAUAUGAAAAAUGCAGGUAAGGGAAGUCGGCAAAUUAGACCCGUAACUUUGGGAAAAGGGUUGGCUCUAGUGCUGCGUGGGAGUGGUUGUCAUGUUGUGGCGUUAUUGAUAUUGUUGAUAUGGCGCGAUACUUCGGUAUUGUUCUUUUCGACUGAUAUUGGUAAUACUGCUCUUGACGACGCCCACAGCAUGCAGCAAACUAGAACUGCAACGGGCAAAGGGAAUCCGACUGUUUAAUUAAAACAAAGCAUUGCGAGGGCC
RNAcentral lists this ribosomal RNA (1123 nucleotides) under Pterocladiella beachiae. RNAcentral describes it as "LSU rRNA". It matches the Rfam family "Eukaryotic large subunit ribosomal RNA", at positions 1002 to 2169 of the family's 3401-position model. Lineage: Eukaryota; Rhodophyta; Florideophyceae; Gelidiales; Pterocladiaceae. The record is from RNAcentral.